AGUUAUUGCCUCGGUGGCGUCAAAUAGUUUUCCACCGAUAUUCUCAUCCCAACAAACAAAUGAUUUCAGGUAGCUAGGAAAUUCGUUUAAAUGUGUUUUACAUUUUCAGUUUGAACUUUAAUGAGUUAUUUAAAUAACGCAUGUCUCAGACAAACUCUUGAGUCUUUUAGAGUGUUUGUUAUCCUAGCUUGUAAAGCUAGCUAACGUUACACUAGCCAUUGUCUUGGGUUGGAAGGUGACGGCAGCUCAAUAGCCCACCAUGUCUGAACCGGGUUCUGGCUGUGGCGUUCCAGUCCAGAGAAGCUCACAGCCUGGUCCAGAGACGGUGUCAGUGAAGCUGGAGGACUGCGGUCAAACACUGGAACUCAAUGAGAGAGCUCCAACUCAGGCUCACUCAGCGAGCCCAGUACCACAGUAUCAGGAAACCAGCAACAACACGAGGGAGGAACUCAAGGCAGAAACCUCACCACUGCUUGGACUGCUUCACUCGUUUCUGUGAUCCAGAGGAGUUGAGACACACUUGUAAAGACCGCAGCCACGGUGUAACAUGUCCUCCCAAACGGAAGAUGACUUCCAGCUCCUUCUCACCAAUCCUCCCACCAGUCCUCCCACCAGUCCUCCCAAACGGAAGAAGACUUCCAGCUCCUUCUCACCAGUCCUCCCAAACGGAAGACGACUUCCAGCUCCUUCUCACCAGUCCUCCCAAAUGGAAGAAGACUUCCAGCUCCUUCUCACCAAUCCUCCCAAACGGAAGAAUACUUCCAGCUCCUUCUCACCAGUCCUCCCAAACGGAAGAAGACUUCCAGCUCCUUCUCACCAGUCCUCCCAAACGGAAGAAGACUUCCAGCUCCUUCUCACCAGUCCUCCCAAACGGAAGAAGACUUCCAGCUCCUUCUCACCAGUCCUCCCAAACGGAAGAAGACUUCCAGCUCCUUCUCACCAGUCCUCCCAAACGGAAGAAGACUUCCAGCUCCUUCUCACCAGUCCUCCCAAACGGAAGAAGACUUCCAGCUCCUUCUCACCAAUCCUCUCACCAGUCCUCUCACCAAUCCUCUCACCAAUCCUCUCACCAAUCCUCUCACCAGUCCUUCCACAAUUUUCUUUCAUCAUCGUGUCAGCUAUUGGGGAUCCUAGUAAACAUAAAGAUAU
Long non-coding RNA from Oncorhynchus gorbuscha (pink salmon), 1149 nucleotides. RefSeq lists it as uncharacterized. Lineage: Eukaryota; Metazoa; Chordata; Actinopteri; Salmoniformes; Salmonidae. The transcript is spliced from 3 exons. The record is from RefSeq and is a predicted model, not a curated record.